This is a long non-coding RNA of Topomyia yanbarensis, 5878 nucleotides long. RefSeq lists it as uncharacterized. The record is from RefSeq and is a predicted model, not a curated record. The transcript has 9 exons. NCBI's taxonomy places the organism in Eukaryota, Metazoa, Arthropoda, Insecta, Diptera, Culicidae.
UUUACCACUGCCGUUGAAUCGGUAUGCGGUAGGAAAACCCGUAAUCGGUAAAACUGCCGAUACAUCGGUAGGUCUGGACACCCAGAACACAAAUUAGAAUCAUUGAGCGAGACAGAAAAGAAACUCAUUAUGCUACCUCUUUCACGCUCACAGAGUAGACAUAAAUUGUUGAGUUAGAUGCAGUUCAAUGAGAGUAAUCUAUACAGAUGAGGUAAUACUACUACUCUCUCGCUUGUUUUCUGGAAAACUAUGACGUAAUUUUCCAUAAUAUGCAUAUUGCAAUAUAUUACGUCAUAAUCUUGUAUGCUAUGUAUGCAUGUUUUCGGAUUCUAGUCCAUUCAAAUGUGAGGAUUAACGUCUGUUAAAAACAUUCCAGCGGUUUGCUCCGAUACUCGAUUUUUGCUUCAAGUUAUUGCGAAUAAAUGACCGAAUUUAUCACUGUUGCAUGUGGGUCCAUGACGUAAAUUUUACUUCUAGACUUUAGGUGGCUGGGGUACUUUUACGUUUGUUGAGGAUGAAUUGUUGAAGUAACUCCACAGCAUAGUGUAGAAGCUGGAAGCAUUUUGCAUACCAAAUUUGAUGAUAUACCUUGAAUAUUAAAUGCUUUCUAUUCGCUGGUGCACUGCGACGACAAAAAGUAGGGGCUACAUAAUUUUUUUCUGGUGUGUGCAAGCCUAUUGAAAACCAAAUUUACUACUAAAAAUUUCCAGCCCUGUGGUCGCUGUGUAUAUUUAUUAAUAUGCGAUUGAACCGUCUCAGACCUAUAGGAGACAGGUAAUGAAAUCAGGAAUAAGAUAUAUAAAUGGAUUCAAUUCAAAAUUUGCUUAAAUGCGAUGCCUAUGACACAAACGCAGGACAGGAGAAAUUUUCAUAGUGUUAGACGAUCUAGAAGACCGGUGUUUAACGGUAACUGACAGCUUCUAAAAACAACAAUUUUUUUCAACAAAUGGGUGAUGUGAAAAUCAACACAAGCAUUAGUUAUGUUAGCCAUUUUUAGUUGAAACAGCUAAAACAAAUAUCAACAACUGCAAUAUCUUAAUUUUGUGAUUGCGGGGUUUUCCGUGCUGCUUUUAAACGCGACUUGCCGGAUAACCAGCUCAUGCUCAACUUCAUCCAAUAGCAAAUGCUCGACGUUCAUCGACCGAUAUUGCAUAAGGAAAUCUGAGCUCAUUUUUACAAAAAGUAACCAUUUUUAUUAAAUUAAUUGAAUUUUUUUUAUAACACUAAUUUAUCGACUUAGUAGUAGAGAAUUGAUUGAAUAGCUAUAGUACUUCACUAACAAAUUAGCAUAUAGUGAUUCUACAAAUAAUAAAUAUAUAAAAUUUGGUUUGUGUUCGUGUCAGAAUUUUUUAUUCAUUCAGGACCUUUUCUGUUUAUUUUUGGUGAGUAUUCUUCUAAGGCAAAUUUUAGAAAUUUAGUUUUUAGUUGCAAUAUCCGAAAUAACUACCGUCCAAUUUACCUAUUGGAAAUUUUAACUGCUUUUACGUGCGUUCACUUUUUCUGCACCAUAACGGAAUUCACUUUAACCAAUGUCUACCAGCUUUUUAAGGAAAUAGUGUUCAAACUAAUAGUGGGUUGAUUUGGGGUUCUACGCAAUCAGACUAUGCUGAUUGUGUACUCACCUACCGCCUGCGAAAAAAUCGUCUGAUUUUUUUUUAAAUUCUACUCGAUUCCUCCGACUACCUUUCGUGUGUUGUGGCUGGGUGCCAAGUGUAACUUUUCUACUGUGUAUCCCGGUAAAGCUCAGUAGCAAGAGCCCCCUCGAACUGGGUCUCAGGGUCGGCUUACUACUAGGUAAUCGGCGGGGUCUCGCGGACAACUGUGCAGGGCACUAUCACUUAACUAAACUGGGUUGUGAAAUAAACAAAUUGAAAAUGGAAUCUAAACUGUUUUAUUAAUGAAAACUUUAACUUUUAAAUAUUUACUUUUAUUUAACUAUUGCUUGUGUGUGAGUGUGUAUGUGGGUUGUGGGUUUAUACUGGUACGUACCGCUGCUGUUGCCGGAAGUUGCUGGUGGUUCAGGGUCGUCCUGCGAGCGCUCGCGUUGCUGCUGCUGACGACGAUGGGGUUCGGGAACUGGUGACAAUGGAUACUCUAUUUCGCUGGUGGGAUUGGCGGGUUCUUAACGGCGUUGGUGGAGCCUAAUGGCGGCUGCUGGCGUCUUCCCUCAUUGACUAGUAUCGACAGGCCCAGGACGAUACCGGAGUGACCGUGCCGAGAGGGGUAAGUCCUCCUUAGCGGUUAUGGCCCAAGGCCAGAGGACGAUCGCUGGUCUUUGACGGGUUAGACGUAGCAAGCAUCCAGGGCUCGCUAGGCCGAAUCGUAUGCUGCCAGGUGGUGAUGAUUGCGUCACCCAAGGCACAGGAAAUUUUAUAUCAAACUAAAAGAAGGUCCUGUGAGGGUAACAAUUCAGGGUGGGGAAUAAGUUUAAUCUCACUCGUAACACGUUUUUGGCAAUUCUCGCCAUCGUUGUCAAACUAGAAUGUUACCUAAAUGUAUCUGGUUCACCUCACGCUUCAAUUCACUUUUUGAAUUAUUAGUUUUUUUUAACUUACUUCACUUUUAAUGUGUCGAGCACACGAACGCCAGAUAACUUGUGAUUCCUGCGGGGGUCGCAGCGGGAUGUUUUAUGCCUUCGGUAGCGUAACAUUUUGGCGGUUUUCCACAGCUUUCUUGGGGCGAACUUUGGGUGUGUCGCGCUACCAUUUUUCGCCUGCCGUAUAUCAGCUUUCCUCCCCCUUUCGUUAACUGUUCUAUGGUUUGGUGUUCGUUACUUUUACCACCCACUUGUACCCACUGUGUUGUUUUAGUGUGAUGACAAUAAUUUGUGCGUUUAUUCUAAUCCUACUAAUCCUAAUUUUAACAAUUAACAAAUAAUUUAUAAUUCACAUUUUAUACUACUAACCCUACUAAAAAUUAACUCUUUUACAUUUAGUGACGUGACAGUACAACUAAACAUUUAGGCACAUAUUUAAAACAAAUAGAGGAUUUUGUAACAAACGGUUACAGUGCGGUAUGAGGUUGUCGACGAAUUCAUAUAUAUUGGAACACUAGUGGCGAAUAAGACUUUCUAUGGUUUGCGUAGUCAACUAUAGUCCCGUAGCCUACAGACGCGCACAAAACUUACUCUAUACAAAACGUUGAUACUCCCUGUUGCUGAAGCAAACUAUCGAGUACUCGAUGUGUUUGAGCGAAGAAUUCUGCGUUCAAUAAACGGCGGCACAGUAGAAAAUGGAGAAUGGCGCAGGCGCAUGAACCACGAGCUGUACCAAGUAUACAAACAUGCUGACAUCGAAAGGCUGAUAAAACACGGCAGACUAAAGUGGGCUGGACAUGUAGUACGAAUGCCGGAAGAGAGAGAGAAAAUUUUCCGAUUGGGUGCUUAAAGAUCAACGUUAAACAGUUCUGGCAGUUGAACAUUCCUGACAUUCUUGACAAUAAGCUGACGUAUUUCUUAAAAUUUUCUUACAGGAUGGCUUUCAAGUAUCAGUAUCUCGAAAACAACGAACACCCUGAAGAAAAAAUUGAGCCAAGAAUUAAACAUAAAAGAGCCGCUCCAUCAGGAGAGGCAGAUACAAAAUUCAAAGUGACAAUGGAUACAAUAUUGCAAUCGACAGGCCAAUCUCCUUGUACUUCGUUUCAACAAGUCAUUAAUUCGGUGAAUCCGUCAAAAAAAAAUAUAACUAUUCCAUCAAAGAUUCUUUACGGAAAUAUCUUAAGGAAAGCUACUGUGAAAUAGGAACAGACUCCAUUUAUUGCGCACACUGUUAACACUUCAUCUUCCUCGGGAGUUUUGUCGUUUGGGCACGGAGAAGAGCGACCGAAGGAUGCUACUCAAGAAAACGUCACACUACAAUUACUUAUGGAAAAAUUGACAACAAUGGAAUUCGGGAGCUUUACAGGUACUUUGCAGGGCAAAUUUUAUGCAAUACGGAAAAUUAUAACUGGACCGGCACGCGUGCGUAUAACGCAAAAACGGAAUGUAUGAUUCGAAAUGCAUCGCACACACAGAUAUUUCAGUUGUUACUUGAAAUUGGCAUGGAACGAUUUAAAAUUGACAAAGUGAUGGCAACUACCGAAAUAACCCAUGCUAUCAACAAUUUUAACGAAGCACGUAGUGCGCGCAUAAAACGAAAUAAAAAUGUUAUUAACAAUACUAUAUAACAUAAACGCUCCCAUAGCAGUACUAGCACACCGUCCAAGCUCUAAAAACAAUCGCAGCAAUUUUUGCGGGGCAGUAGCUCCAAGAUACUUCGAAAGCAGCAUCUAUCUCAUUUCAGUAAACAGGCUAGAAAUCAUCAACCGAAUAAUACACGAUAAUUUAAAGUAAACCAACCGAUGAGGCCUGCCUACAAAGUGGAUGUUGUUUGUGCAGUUAGAAGAGAUGUUACCAAAGUCACGUUGAAUUUGGUCAACAAUGUGCGAAGAGAAAGUUAUAUCGGUUAGGUUUGAGAUAAUUUAUAUUCCCAGUACUACUACUACAUUGGCAUGGUACGGGUAACCACAUCGGCAGUCACUGGAGUUUUAGUGGACAUAAAAGAUCUUCCGUUUCCAACUCAACUCGAUCCUCGUGUGACCAGACCAACUAAAAAAUAGGUGCAUUCGACAAAUCAGUCAUUUUACUAGACGCAGAGGCAGAUUGCAAAUUUGUCGGAUCGGUGGAUGCCUUUUCGUCGCGGUAUGUUGGCACGGUAUGGGUGUAACAUAAUUGGCAGUCAGUGGGGUUUUAGUGGACAUGAGAUAAAACCCCCAUUUCCCAAUCAAUUCUAUUCUCGUGUCACCAACUGAAACAAAGCUAUUCGACAAUCCGGCCAUUUGACGACACCCAAUGUAAGCUGUUCACCGGUCGGCGACAAGAAAUUUCUCCAUUGCAUAUCUUGACCAACCAACGUAUAACUGUAUGUAAUGGACUCGAUCUUCGUACCAUCAAAUAGACCAAAGGUCUUCGACGUCCGGUAAUUCGUUAUGGUUAUCGUCGUAAGGAAACGUCUACACACACCACGCAGGGGAGAGUCGUAUAACAUUUCGAACAGCACGAUAGAGGACGUUUUUGGUAUUAUGCAGCCGACCGAGUUCGACUUCCGUAUGUGUACCGGCAAUAAUCAUAUUACUUAAAAUGCAACUAUAAGCACUUCGAGUCGGAAUGUCACGUUAUCCGGUGCUUUCUACGACAAAAAUUACAGCAAAAGUAAAAUGAAGAAGAAAAAACAUCCCUGCAGCGGAAUUGACUAAGUUUACCAGGAAGUGACCAUCAUCAGAAAUAUUGAUGCGUCUCAGUAUCGAUCGUACAGACUCGUCAAUUCAUACAAAUCCGCAUCCACAAAGAUACAUUGAUUUGCCUCGAUUUUGAAGAUUGGUCUCAAUAUACACAUCGGAGCAACGGUAUUCACAGUAUAUUGUGCCGCUGAUGAACCUGAAUUCGACUGCACUAUCACUGUCGGCUUCUUCCGAAUGUUGAAAAGCCUAUAAUAUGAUAGUAAACACGAAGGUAUCAGCUCAAAACGAAUUUUUCAACUGGAUGGAGGGAAAACACCGCGAAGACGAAUGGUCAUCGAGGCACUGAAAAAGUACCAGUUGGGCCGGUUUUCUGCAAUGCUGAAAUCGUUUGCCAACGGGCUCAAACUUACCGAAGAAAAAGUGCUCUAAGACUCACAUAUUUCUUGGUCUGACGGAUGAUCCAGUUGUUGCUGGACGAGAGCAACGUAGUCUAUUUGGCCCGAUUGGCAUACCAACUGGUGUGACGAACAGCGACACAGAAUAUCCGCAACCCCAGAAUAUUGCUGCUGAGAUCAAUUUGGGCUGACGGGGAUGAACGAUCAGCGUACUACAUAAUUACGUCUUGUUUUCGGGAAGCGUACUAUUAUUUGAAAAAAUGAAU